AGUGAACGCUGGCGGUAGGCCUAACACAUGCAAGUCGAACGGCAGCACAGUAAGAGCUUGCUCUUACGGGUGGCGAGUGGCGGACGGGUGAGGAAUACAUCGGAAUCUACUUUUUCGUGGGGGAUAACGUAGGGAAACUUACGCUAAUACCGCAUACGACCUACGGGUGAAAGCAGGGGAUCUUCGGACCUUGCGCGAUUGAAUGAGCCGAUGUCGGAUUAGCUAGUGGGCGGGGUAAAGGCCCACCAAGGCGACGAUCCGUAGCUGGUCUGAGAGGAUGAUCGGCCACACUGGAACUGAGACACGGUCCAGACUCCUACGGGAGGCAGCAGUGGGGAAUAUUGGACAAUGGGCGCAAGCCUGAUCCAGCCAUACCGCGUGGGUGAAGAAGGCCUUCGGGUUGUAAAGCCCUUUUGUUGGGAAAGAAAAGCAGCAGGUUAAUACCCCGCUGUUCUGACGGUACCCAAAGAAUAAGCACCGGCUAACUUCGUG
RNAcentral lists this ribosomal RNA (492 nucleotides) under uncultured bacterium. Its description in RNAcentral is "partial 16S ribosomal RNA". It matches the Rfam family "Bacterial small subunit ribosomal RNA", at positions 29 to 507 of the family's 1533-position model. The record is from RNAcentral.